This is a long non-coding RNA of Cercocebus atys (sooty mangabey), 2376 nucleotides long. RefSeq lists it as uncharacterized. The record is from RefSeq and is a predicted model, not a curated record. The transcript is spliced from 3 exons. Lineage: Eukaryota; Metazoa; Chordata; Mammalia; Primates; Cercopithecidae.
AUGCGCACAACUAGCUCCGCCCCGCGCCCGGCUCUAGCUGUUUCACUCUGGCGGACUGUUCUACGCGUGGGUUAAUGUUGCUUCUCAGAUGCGUCUUGGCGGUGAGAGCAAGCAAUCAGUAUGGAAAUGGAGAAAGGGCUGACCAUGUAUGUCCUCCCCAGGAAGGAGGUCGUGGUGUAGGCGAGCAGAGGCCAGACUCCCGUGGACACUUGCCGCCUGCGUUAUGGAGGCUUAGCUAAUAACCUUGCAGGGGCCUUCAUGCUUUUCCACUCCCUCACCUGUAGGGUUCUGACACUUACCCACGAUUAAAAAAGAUGAGAUUCCAUGAGACUAGAAAUGUAGGAGCAUCUCAGACCUUCACAGAAGGCUCUAUUAGAAGAUCAGAAACAUAACUUUGCUUGUGAGAGUUGAAGCCAGCUGGACUUCCUGGGUUGAGUGGGGACUUGGAGAACUUUUCUGUCUAGCUAAAGGAUUGUAAAUGCACCAAUCAGCAGUCUGUAAAAACAAACCAAUCAGUGCUCUGUGUCUAGCUGAAGGAUUGUAAACACACCAAUCAGCACUCUGUAAAAUGGACCAAUCAGCACCCUGUAAAAUGGACCCAUCAGCAGGAUGUGGGUGGGGACAAAUAAGGGAAUAAAAGCUGGCCACCCCAGCCGGCAGCAGCAACUCACUGGGGUCCCCUUCCAUAAGCUUUGUUCUUUCACUAUUCACAAUAAAUCUUGCUGCUGCUCACUCUUUGGGUCCAUGCUACCUUGAAGAGCUGUAACACUCACCGUGAAGGUCCGAGGCUUCAUUCUUGAAGUCAGCGAGUCCAAGAACCCACUGGAAGGAACCAACUCCAGACAUACUUGUAGUAGCAAAUUAUCAAAAACAUUCAUUGUGUUUUCUGGAAAACAAUUUUUCCCAGAAACACCUGGCAGAAUCAGAGUUCAUUGUGUCAAAAGAAAAAUGUUAGACAAAUUAAAAUAAGCAAAAAACAAUUUGUGAAUUGAGUCCCUCUCCCAACCAUAACAGGUUCAAAGAGACUCCAGUGCUGCCACAUGAUCAAAGAAUUAUGGACAAAAAAAGCAAAUAAAUUAUAGGAAAAGAAAAUGAGAUGAUGCGGUAGUUACUUUUUGAAGGACUACUGAAGCAGGAUAUUUCCCUGACCCCUUCAUGGGACCCACGACAGAGGUUCCUUGUUUAUUCAGCCUGCUGCCCACAACUCCUCAUGGGAGGGAGCACACAAGUGAACAAGGGUGAGGACUGGAGUGCACCAGCACUGGAACAACCCAGCUGCUUCAGCGCUGGUGGGAUCAAACUCCACUCACUUGGACACACUGUGUUCCACCCCUCGUGGGAGGGAGCAUGCAGGUGAGAGGAUGCAGGAGUCAGGGUGAGCACUUUUGGGCUCCAGCAGGAGCAAACUCUGUGCAGGGCCCUGCAGCAGUGACUGAGGGGCUGCCUGUGACUCCCAAAGCCUCAGAGGAUGCGUUACAGUGCCCUUUUAGCUCUGCCAUCCGUAGGUGGCUUAAAUGUAAACAGCUCAGUGCGCCCUUUGCCUUUUCGCAUGAGGCAGCUGCCCUCCACCAGCAAGAGUAAAGGGCCAGUGUCACAGCCUUUUGUAUCUGCACUCAUGGCUCCUGAGCUCUUGUCCUGCAUCCAGGAAAAAUGAGGUUACACAAAAGAAUUGAAGGAUGGUAAAUGUGGGAUAUUUUAUUUCCAGUGAAAGUGGCUUUCAGCAGGAAGGAGAGCAGAAAAGGGGAUGGGCUGGGUAGGUAAUCUUCCCCUGAAGUCCUGCCAUCUCUGGCUGGAUUUUUCUCCAAAGUUACACCGUCAAAAUGUCCCUCUGAAAUCAAGCCACUUCUCUCUGACAUCCAGCCGUAGUCCCUCACGUCCAGUUGAUUCUCCUCUCUGCUGGCUGAGUCUGUGGUCUUCAUAGCACAGGAUGGCGGGCAGGGUGGGCCAUGAGUAGUUUAGGAAAAAGCAACAUUUGAGCAGACAAAAGGGAGAGAAGUUCUCACUUUGGGCUGUGGUUUCAGGCUUUUUGGCUUGAGGGUGGGGUUUUGUCAGGGACCCUCCCUUUUCUGCCUAAAAUUUCUCUGCCUCCUGCCUCUAUCAUUGUAUCACUUGUUUGAAGUAAACCCAUCUGGAAUUACUGAUUUUAACAAAUCACACAGAAUUUCAAACACCUUUCUAUGCAAAUGACUUGUGAAGACAUAGAGUAUAGUAUGCUGUUAACAAACAGCCCAGCAGUGUGCCUUGCACCUUGUAGGUGUACAAAAUAUUGUUAAGUCAAUUUUAUAAAUGAAGGAGGUAACUUUAAAAUGCUACAUCCAUGUUGCAUAAUUUUAUUCAUCGAUCAUUUUGAAUAAAAACAAAAGCCAGAAUAAACCA